RNAcentral lists this long non-coding RNA (268 nucleotides) under Brassica napus (rape). Its description in RNAcentral is "long non-coding RNA (BNAP_LNC001591)". Lineage: Eukaryota; Viridiplantae; Streptophyta; Magnoliopsida; Brassicales; Brassicaceae. The record is from RNAcentral.
AAUCGUAUCAUGUUAAUACAACUUUAUAAUCUCUAAUAAGAAUAAUGAAAAAAUAAAGAAAAAUUUAGACAUAUGCGAAGAUAAUGUAAAAUGUGUUUACAUUAUAAAGAAAUUUAAUAAAAAGAGAAAAUAACUAAAAUAGUAUUAUGUAAUUAAAAAAAUAACUAAAAUAGUAUUAUGUAAUUAAAAUAUAUUUGAGAACAAAUAAAAAUAAAAAAAUAAGCAAACAUCAAACAUUAACUAAAAUAGAUAUAAUAUCCUUCAUCAC